AGGCGGAGUCAGUACACCAGGGAUGAACAUUAAAAGACAUCAUCAUGAAUCACGACCUUGUUGAAAGGUUCAAAGAGAAACUAGACCACUGCCCCAUCUCAGAUUAUCAUGGCCUGAACAGUCCAGGUCUGACGUGCUAUUUGAACAGCGUUCUUCAGGUGCUGUUCAUGACCGAAGACUUCCGGGAGGCUGUGAACCGAUCAUGCAGUGAAGAUUCAACAACCAUUGACACACAGCUAAGAAUAAUAUUUGCUGAAUUACAGACGCAUUUAGCGAAAACCAAUAACCUCACAGAAGAACUUGGCAUCAUAAACGUAUACGAGCAACGGGAUGCAGCAGAGUAUUUGGAGAAGAUUUUGUGUUUGACCAGUCCAGAGGCAUCCAUGAUAUUCAGGGGAGAGCUGACUCACAGCACCACAUGGUGCCAAGAGAGGAACGACUCCAGGGGCUUUUUUUUACUUCUCCCACUCGCGAUGGAAGACUUGCCUCAACAAACCUGCAGUGUGGUAAAUGGGUUGAAGGGAUUCUUCAAUGGAGAAAGGGUCUGUAGGGACAAAGUCUACUGCAACCGCUGCAAUAAAAAGCAAAGUGCAAACUUUAGAUGCAAGAUGACACAAAGUCCAGAGAAUUUGACCCUCCUGCUGAAGAGAUUCUAAUUUGACUACAAACGCAGGUGUUACGUGAAGCUUCACCUCAACGUGCAAGUUCCCCAGACUUUACACACAGAGAAUUGUAAGUAUGACCUCUACGCUUUAGUUAACCACUUUGGUAGUCUGACAGGAGGUCACUACACUGCUCAUAUCAAGUCUUUUGAAACUCACACAUGGUACCACUUCAAUGACGACACAGUGAACAGCGUCGUGCCACCACUGUUUGGGGCUGGAAAUGACUCUCUGAGGUCUCGUACAGCCUACCUCCUCAUGUACAGGAAGGUCAGGAGACAUACUGAAAAACCUGAUGAAGGCCUCAAGCAGCCUCCCUGCACACAUGAAGAUGUGGAUGCUGAAGGGAGAAAUCAAAAUAGAGCCACGGAGGUGAAGAAUAAAUACAGAUAAACACUUGGAAUCGCUUAGUGUGAAAAUAAUGCAGUGUUUGCUGAGUACAGAAGUUGAGCAUUUCUGUUGAAACAUUUCAAUUGGUGUGUGUUGCAUUAUGAGUUACUACAAUGUUUAUAUGGAUUACAAACAGUGUCACACCUCAUGUAGCGAGUGAUUAUGCUGUAGAAAGGUCAGCAGAAGGUCCUUAAAAUUAAGUUUUCUGUUGUAUAAACUGAUGUGUAACCAAAUGAUAUUGAUGUACAUUUUUAAACACACAAAUGAUUUGCAUACUUCAAUUAGAAACAAGUUGCUUUGCCGAAAAAAGUGUGUAAUCAAGCAUUUAGUAUAAGCUCAUGGAAUAUCAUUACUCACAAGAAUUGAAAUAAACAUUAAAAAUGUCUCAUUUUGCAAAAUGUAAUGUCUUUAGUUUUUAGCCUGACUUUAAGAACUUUA
RNA transcript from Pungitius pungitius (ninespine stickleback), 1490 nucleotides. It is a transcript of the gene named ubiquitin carboxyl-terminal hydrolase 47-like, with no coding region annotated. The record is from RefSeq and is a predicted model, not a curated record. NCBI's taxonomy places the organism in Eukaryota, Metazoa, Chordata, Actinopteri, Perciformes, Gasterosteidae. The transcript is spliced from 10 exons.